UACGGGGGGGGCAAGCGUUGUUCGGAAUUACUGGGCGUAAAGGGCGCGUAGGCGGGAUGGCAAGUCGGUCGUGAAAGCCUUCGGCUCAACCGAAGAACGUCGGCCGAUACUGCCGUUCUUGAGGGAUGCAGAGGAGACUGGAAUUCCCGGUGUAGCGGUGAAAUGUGUAGAGAUCGGGAGGAACACCGGUGGCGAAGGCGGGUCUCUGGGCAUCUCCUGACGCUGAGGCGCGAAAGCGUGGGGAGCAAACGGG
RNAcentral lists this ribosomal RNA (253 nucleotides) under uncultured bacterium. Its description in RNAcentral is "partial 16S ribosomal RNA". It matches the Rfam family "Bacterial small subunit ribosomal RNA", at positions 524 to 776 of the family's 1533-position model. The record is from RNAcentral.